CAAAUUCCAUAGGAACCUUUCAAAUGUUAAUCUGAGAGUACUUGGAAAGGCUAGUCUGUCACCUUUUCCCACCUUUUUCCUGUGCAUGGACACAGCUGGGAUCACCACAGAACCAGCUGAAAACUCAGCACUCCCACACAGCCUGUGAUGCCAGGCUCUGACCUUGGCACAGGUAAGGAAACUUUUCCUGAACUUUUCCUGGCCCCCCUGGAUAUCUGUAUGCAGUCUCUAAGAAGGAACAAAAAAGAAAAGGGUUUUUCUUUUUUUUUUUUUUUUUUUUUUUUUUUUUUUUUUUUGUAUUGAAACUGUUAUUGUUUGAUAGCAAAAGGAGAACUAGCAGGAGAAAGGCUUCAACUUCCUGCUUGCCGCCUCCUUUCUAUCUAACAGAAGUCCUUGAAAUGGGAUGCAAUGAAUGUUUCCUUUAUUAAAAACCGAGCCUUCUCCAGCCCACACAGUUUCACAACACUUGAUAGAAUGCACAUUUUUCCAGUGUCUUUUUUUAACAAUGUCCAACAAUAAAAAAAAAAAGUCAGUAAUGGGGCCGUAUUCAGCAUUAGUGUAAUUGGGAGCAGCUCCCUCUGAUCUCAAUAGGAGGUGCGCUCACUUUCACCAGAACCAGAUUUGCUCACUCAUGGACACCUCAUGUUUAGGAUAGUCACCAAUCUCUGCUGAGAGCAGCUUAUAAACUUCCCCAGACUUGUGAAUCUAUUGGUUUAGCACUAGUCUGCAAAAUAAAGAAGGGAAAAGGCAGCAAAUGCGGGCUUUUAACCUAAAAGCUGGCUUUAUUCUCCUCCACCCAGGCUCUGCUACCUCUCUGCCUGCUGCAGCUGGCUGGCACCUCUGAGGAAGCUGCCACGUCACACCUCACUGGAGUCGGGGAGAGCGUGCUGCUUCUCUGCACCUUCUCUAGAGGAAGCACUGUCACUUGUGUUUUUCUGGACCAGGAUUCUGAUGCUUUGUGCCUCCAUUUGAUCCAUACUGAAGAAAAUUUACCUAACAUGCUGAGUUCAAUAAUGCUACAUGAUGGAGUUAACUUCAUUGAGUUUUGCAUGGCCUUCUUUCUAAUCAUCAGCCCUUUGAGAAAUGUGGAGGAGGGGCCCGUCCCUUCUCAGCAGUUAUGGGAAAUGAAGACCGAUUAAAUCAUAGGCUUUGCCCUGUCAGUAAAAAUGUAAAAAUGUCAAACAUGAAAAAAAGUAUUUCCAUAUUGGGUGAUGUGUUUUUUUUUUUUUUUUCUCAGCUACAAUUGCUCUAGCAGUAUAAGAACAUAGCACAAGGUUUAGAUUAGUCAAGCACAUUUUUGCACUAUGUAUAUAAUAACAAAAAAAACAGACCUGCCAACCCACCCCCAGGUCUUGAAUUUUUGGUAGAUUUUCUAGUAAAGUUCCCUUUAGUGUCCUUAGGGAAGUCUUCAAGGGUGGACCAAUGAAGACAUGCCUCUUGUUGCAUUUGCAUUUGUACAUCUUGAGCUUCAUUGCAGUACCCUCUGUCUGAACUUCAUUCUAUCAGUGUUCCACUCAGUGUAAGGACAGCCCCUAUUACCCCUUCCCUGGAGCAGCUCAGCUCCUCUCUGUCAUGGCAGCUUUUCUUGUUGGUGGAACACCGCAUUAGCAACCUGAUCCCACCACCCUCCCUGCCACACAGCCUAAGGAGCCAUGCUUCUAGCUGCAGAGGGGACUGAUUCUGAUCCCCUUAAUGCAUUACUCAUCGACUUUGUUGGUCUCAAAUGUCUGAGUAAGACCCUGAACAUGGCAUGACAAUGUCUCUCUCCUAUAUUUAUCCUCCAAAAAACUAGAAGUCAGCUCUUAAAUAAAUGUUGAGAGAAGCCUGUAGGGCA
RNAcentral lists this long non-coding RNA (1834 nucleotides) under Anas platyrhynchos platyrhynchos (common mallard). RNAcentral describes it as "lncRNA (ENSAPLG00000025775.1)". Lineage: Eukaryota; Metazoa; Chordata; Aves; Anseriformes; Anatidae. The record is from RNAcentral.